Molecule: ribosomal RNA, 652 nt
Filed under: Acrobeloides bodenheimeri
Lineage: Eukaryota; Metazoa; Nematoda; Chromadorea; Rhabditida; Cephalobidae
Description: partial large subunit ribosomal RNA
Rfam family: Eukaryotic large subunit ribosomal RNA
Source: RNAcentral
UCGAUGCAUGUCUUUGCAGAAGAGUUCAAGAGUGACGUGAAUUGCGUGGGAUGGAAAACUGAUAGUAGCCACGAACAAGCCCGUAUUCGGCUAGUCGGCUGCGUGCGGCAUGCCUGGGUGCUCGAUAGGGUGCCUGGGUGUGUGCGGCAUGCGGUAUGAUAGUGCAUUUGCGGGUGAUGUGCGCUGAGGCAAGUGGUGGUGUCCGGCAAACCGUUUGGAGAGGACUUGCCUUCGGGCUUGAACCCUACGAGCGGGGAGUAAGAUUACUGCUGCACGUGAAUGAAACGGCUAGGUUCCAACGCUCUGCCGUGCUUCCGGGCUCGUCGCUAGGCAAGUAGCAUGAUACUAGGUGAUGUCGGCUGGUCUGGGUGGUGCGUUAGUGCCCUGGUCGACCCUUGAUGUAUGUUUGGAUCAUGAUCUCCGACCCGUCUUGAAACACGGACCAGGAGUCUAGCGUAUACCGAGUCAUUGGGUGGAAAACCCAUAGGCGCAAUGAAAGUGAAGGCUUCCUCGCGGAGCUGAUAUGCGAUCCGUUGCACUUCGGUGUACGCGGAGCAGCAUAGCCCCGUCUCGACUGCUUGCAGUGGGGCGGAGGUAGAGCGUAUUCGCUGGUACCCGAAAGUGUGCUACUCCCCCAAAAAAGGAGGAAAAA